GAUGAACGCUGGCGGCGUGCCUAAUACAUGCAAGUCGAGCGAACGGACGAGAAGCUUGCUUUUCUGAUGUUAGCGGCGGACGGGUGAGUAACACGUGGAUAACCUACCUAUAAGACUGGGAUAACUUCGGGAAACCGGAGCUAAUACCGGAUAAUAUUUUGAACCGCAUGGUUCAAAAGUGAAAGACGGUCUUGCUGUCACUUAUAGAUGGAUCCGCGCUGCAUUAGCUAGUUGGUAAGGUAACGGCUUACCAAGGCAACGAUGCAUAGCCGACCUGAGAGGGUGAUCGGCCACACUGGAACUGAGACACGGUCCAGACUCCUACGGGAGGCAGCAGUAGGGAAUCUUCCGCAAUGGGCGAAAGCCUGACGGAGCAACGCCGCGUGAGUGAUGAGGGUCUUCGGAUCGUAAAACUCUGUUAUCAGGGAAGAACAUAUGUGUAAGUAACUGUGCACAUCUUGACGGUACCUAAUCAGAAAGCCACGGCUAACUACGUG
This 497-nucleotide ribosomal RNA is filed under the name uncultured bacterium. RNAcentral's name for it is "partial 16S ribosomal RNA". It matches the Rfam family "Bacterial small subunit ribosomal RNA", at positions 28 to 507 of the family's 1533-position model. The record is from RNAcentral.